AUUGAACGCUGGCGGCAGGCCUAACACAUGCAAGUCGAACGGUAACAGGAAACAGCUUGCUGUUUCGCUGACGAGUGGCGGACGGGUGAGUAAUGUCUGGGAAACUGCCUGAUGGAGGGGGAUAACUACUGGAAACGGUAGCUAAUACCGCAUAACGUCGCAAGACCAAAGAGGGGGACCUUCGGGCCUCUUGCCAUCGGAUUGGCCCAGAUGGGAUUAGCUAGUAGGUGGGGUAACGGCUCACCUAGGCGACGAUCCCUAGCUGGUCUGAGAGGAUGACCAGCCACACUGGAACUGAGACACGGUCCAGACUCCUACGGGAGGCAGCAGUGGGGAAUAUUGCACAAUGGGCGCAAGCCUGAUGCAGCCAUGCCGCGUGUAUGAAGAAGGCCUUCGGGUUGUAAAGUACUUUCAGCGGGGAGGAAGGGAGUAAAGUUAAUACCUUUACUCAUUGACGUUACCCGCAGAAGAAGCACCGGCUAACUCCGUG
Molecule: ribosomal RNA, 490 nt
Filed under: uncultured bacterium
Lineage: Bacteria
Description: partial 16S ribosomal RNA
Rfam family: Bacterial small subunit ribosomal RNA
Source: RNAcentral